UUUUAUGGCAAUGAAUCUGAAACUGUUGUGGCACAUCUUACCAAGUUGAAUGAUAUAGCCAACCUAUUUACUAAUGAUGAGAAGUCUCGCUAUUAUUAUAUCCUUAAGAUAUUUCCAUUCUCAUUAAAGGGUGAUGCUAAAACUUGGUUUAAUUCCCUUGAUCCUGGUUGUGUGCGUAGUCCCCAAGAUAUGAUUUAUUACUUCUCCGCUAGAUAUUUCCCUGCUCAUAAGAAACAAGCUGCCUUGCGGGAAAUAUAUAAUUUUGUGCAAAUCAAAGAAGAGAGUCUCCCACAAGCUUGGGGGAGGCUUCUUCGAUUACUUAAUGCUUUGCUUGAUCACCCUCUUAAGAAAAAUAAAAUACUUGAUGUCUUUUAUAAUGGACUAACCGAUGCUUCCAAGGACUACUUGGAUAGUUGUGCUGGUUGUGUUUUCAGGGAAAGAACAGUCGACCAAGCUGAAUUGUUAUUGAAUAAUAUGUUGACAAAUGAAAAUAAUUGGACUCUUCCUGAGCCAAUUCCUAAAGCAAUUCCUGAACCAAUUGAGCCAACUCCUGAGCCUAUUCCUAAACCUACUCCGAAGAAGAGAGGUGUUCUAUUU
RNAcentral lists this ribosomal RNA (597 nucleotides) under Triticum aestivum (bread wheat). RNAcentral describes it as "partial small subunit ribosomal RNA". Lineage: Eukaryota; Viridiplantae; Streptophyta; Magnoliopsida; Poales; Poaceae. The record is from RNAcentral.